GACGAACGCUGGCGGCGUGCUUAACACAUGCAAGUCGAACGAAGAGCGAUGGAAGCUUGCUUCUAUCAAUCUUAGUGGCGAACGGGUGAGUAACGCGUAAUCAACCUGCCCUUCAGAGGGGGACAACAGUUGGAAACGACUGCUAAUACCGCAUACGAUCUAAUCUCGGCAUCGAGGAUAGAUGAAAGGUGGCCCCUACAUGUAAGCUAUCACUGAAGGAGGGGAUUGCGUCUGAUUAGCUAGUUGGAGGGGUAACGGCCCACCAAGGCGAUGAUCAGUAGCCGGUCUGAGAGGAUGAACGGCCACAUUGGGACGGAGACACGGCCCAGACUCCUACGGGAGGCAGCAGUGGGGAAUCUUCCGCAAUGGACGAAAGUCUGACGGAGCAACGCCGCGUGAGUGAUGACGGCCUUCGGGUUGUAAAGCUCUGUUAAUCGGGACGAAAGGCCUUCUUGCGAAUAGGGAGAAGGAUUGACGGUACCGGAAUAGAAAGCCACGGCUAACUACGUG
This 510-nucleotide ribosomal RNA is filed under the name uncultured bacterium. Its description in RNAcentral is "partial 16S ribosomal RNA". It matches the Rfam family "Bacterial small subunit ribosomal RNA", at positions 28 to 507 of the family's 1533-position model. The record is from RNAcentral.